GAAAGAACUCUUUGCAAAUACAAAGCUUACCAUCUCUGCUAUGAAUCUGAACCUCAAUGGAUUGAACUCAUGUCCAUUCUCGCCUUGAAAUGCAGUCAAGAAAUCUAAUGAAUUGCUGCGAAGGUCAAAGUUUAUCGCUAUGUAAUUACAGCACAUUCCCUUAAUGGAGAAGUGGAAGCAAAAAACAAAAUAAAAAUGUGAAAUAUUUUGUGUUCUA
Molecule: long non-coding RNA, 217 nt
Organism: Caretta caretta (loggerhead turtle)
Lineage: Eukaryota; Metazoa; Chordata; Testudines; Cheloniidae
Source: RefSeq, a predicted model, not a curated record